This 458-nucleotide ribosomal RNA is filed under the name uncultured bacterium. RNAcentral's name for it is "partial 16S ribosomal RNA". It matches the Rfam family "Bacterial small subunit ribosomal RNA", at positions 338 to 795 of the family's 1533-position model. The record is from RNAcentral.
CCUACGGGGGGCAGCAGUGAGGAAUAUUGGUCAAUGGGCGAGAGCCUGAACCAGCCAAGUCGCGUGAGGGAGUACUGCCCUAUGGGUUGUAAACCUCUUUUGUCGGGGAGCAAAAGCCGGACGUGUCCGGCUGUGAGAGUACCCGAAGAAAAAGCAUCGGCUAACGCCGUGCCAGCAGCCGCGGUAAUACGGAGGAUGCGAGCGUUAUCCGGAUUUAUUGGGUUUAAAGGGUGCGCAGGCGGAUUUUUAAGUCGGCGGUAAAAUCGGGGGGCUCAACCCCAUCCAGCCGUUGAAACUGGGGAUCUAGAGUGUGCGAGAGGUAUGCGGAAUGCGUGGUGUAGCGGUGAAAUGCAUAGAUAUCACGCAGAACCCCGAUUGCGAAGGCAGCAUACCGGUGCACAACUGACGCUCAGGCACGAAAGCGUGGGUAUCGAACAGGAUUAGAUACCCCAGUAGUC